GCCAUUCGGCCCCGGAGUAGCUCCGCGCUCCCAGAAUGCACCGCUAGUCCGCGGGAAACCAAAAUGGCGAAGGGCUGUUGCGAAGUGGUCUGUGUUUGAGGCCGGUGUGAGCACGCACAUUCUCCUUCCUAACCCUCGUCCCCAAGGAACUCGGUGUGUGUGUGCGUGUGCGCAGGGCUCCCGCUGGGGCGGGUGCCCAGGGAGUGCCCGGACUCGCGGGGGAGCGCCCACGGGAACGAGAUUGCUUCUAUUUUCCUGUAUGAAGCGGUUGGCACCACUUAAGUGACCGAAUGAGAAAGGUUUAACUGAGGAGGGAAGACCCACCCUGACUAUGUGAGGCCACCAUACCCAUGGGCUGGGGUCCUGGAUUGAAUCAAAUGGAGGAAGCAAGCUGAGCAUGAACAUUGACCUUCCUGACUGCAGAUAUCAGUGCGAUAGCUGUCUCCUGCUUCUUCUACUAUGCCUCCCCCUUCCAUGAUGGACUGUACUCUGAAACUGUGAGCCAAAAUAUACACUUUUUUUAUGUUGUUUUUGUCAGAGUUUUUUACACAGCAAUGAGAAAAAUACUGAAUGCAUAUAUUAAUAAAAUUUCAAGACAUGAAGAACAAAGGACUGUGGCUCAGUAGAGUAAGAUUUUUCAUCCUAGUGCUGAGUAUAGUAAGUGAACAGCACCAGACUUUCUUUACAGAGGGAAAUUCUUUACAAUGUAAAGUUCUGUGUGUAGGAACUGAAUGAGUCAGUUGUUAUUUAUUGCUUGGCCUCACCUGGCACUCCUGUGUUGAAACUUUGUUCCUUUCCUAGCUAGGACUACAGGUUCCUGCUACUCUACCAGUGAGUUGCAAUGAGGACUGAGAUAUUUGUAGGUCUAGAAGAAGACCUUAGAGAAGCUUUGUGCACAUAUCCUUUUACUGUAUGCCACGUCUCUAGCCAAAGAGUAUGUGAUCCAGAAAGCUUUGGCGUGGUGUGAACAAGGCCCAGCAAUCCCAGAUUGAUGCAGAAACAUUGUGAGCUCUAAAAGCAAUGGUUAUUCGUGGAAAGGGAAAGAAAUUUAAAUUAUCUUUGACAACUUAAAAAUGAAGUGUUAAUAGGAUAUAUUAAGGAUUCUGGGCAAACAGUUUGUCCUAUUCUGGUUUGUUUCUAUCUUUUUUUUUUCUUUGAUGUGAUGCCUGUAAUCUCAUGAGAAAGAUAAAGAGUAUGGGUUUUGGUAGUGGGGAGGAUCUAGGAGCAGUUGGGGGUAGGGGAAGUCAUAAUCGGAAUAUACUGUAUGGAAAAAAUCUACAAUGAAAAAAAGUGUGACUAGAAAUAGAGUAAGUACACUUUGUUUGGUUUUAAGAAAGAGUCUCAUGUAGCCUAGCCUGGUCAUGAACUCCUGAUUCUAGAGCUAGGAUCGCAGGUUGUAUGCCAGUUAAUACUACUACUAUUAAGUAGUAUUUCAGUGGUUAAUUUUUUUUUCCUCCCCUUCUCUCUUCUUGCUUAUGGUUUUAUGGAAUGGUCUCCCAUCUCUUGCAAAGGGAAGUUUCUUGAUGAGGAGUGAGAACUACACUUAACUGGGCAUAAGUAAAAAUAUUUAGGAUAUAGUUAGGGGUUGAUUAUGCUGGUUUAGUAAAUGAUAGUUGUAGGUUCUCCACUAAGAUCCCUGACUUCACUAGUCCUAGGUAGUUGACUAGAUUUCCAUUAUUAACACAAGUUUUUUCUCUCUGAGUAGGGUCUUAAGUCCAGUUAGAGUUACUGGUUACCACCAAGGUAUGCAUUCCACUGCUGCACCAUAAAGGUUAUUGUGCCAGCUGUUAUAGCUGGGUAGGAAGGGCUGUUGCUUCCUUCAUUUGGCAGCUUGCAUGGCACCUUCUGGAAACAUGAAGCUAGUCAGUUCUAGUUUAGGUGUCUCUGGUCCCACUGUCUGAAGUUCAUGGUAUCAUCAGCAUUAGGAACUUAUCUUCUACCACUUGGGAUUGGGUAACCAAAGGCAAUAGCAAUAGUCUGCAAUGUUUUAGGAGUCUCUUGGACAGUCCUGACCAACAACUGAAAGGUGGUAUUCUCAUGUUUAGUAAUGGAGAUUUUGUUAAAUAGUUAGAGGGGAAAUCAGAGGAAUUUCAGAGAGUUGUUUCUGUUAUGGGCCUCAGGGAUAGAACUUACAGCUUAUCAGGCUUCACGACAAGCAUUUUAUCUGCUGAGCUAUUUUGCUAGCUCUUGGUUGUUUACAUGUACUUGUUUUUAUUUUAUGUGUAUGAAUGUUAGGCUUACAUGUAUGUUCACCAUGUGCUUGCUUGGUUUCCAUGGAGGCCAGAACAGGAUGUUGAGUCCCCUGGAACUCUGUGAGUUGUUAGCUACUGUGUGGGUGCUGGGACACAAAACUGCAAGAGCAGUAAGUACUCCGAGUUGCUAAGCCAUCUCUAGAUUCUCUAUGGAGUUUUAAUGAAGUAAAGUAACUCAGUGAGGUAGGGAAUGGGAGUUGGAAUAUGUGGACUACCUUUUAUGACAAGAAAGUAGGUCUAGGGGCUGGCUCAGUGGUUAAGAACACUUGUUGCUCCUGCACAAGACCUAGGUUUAGUUCCCAGCACCCACAUGGUGGUGGUUCAUAACACCAGGGGGUCAAAUGCCUUCUUCUGACCUCAAAAGGCACCACCAAGUUGCAUGUGGUACAUAAGUAUACAUGCAAGCAAAACAAAGUAAAAUGUAUAAAUCUAAAAAUAAAUAAAAGAAUGUAGGUCUGAAAUUGAUUAAAGGCAAGUAUAUAAACACAAUCGUUUGGAAAUAAAUACUGGGAUAGGUUGGUGAAUCUCUCUCUCUCUCUCAAUAUGUGUGUGUAUGUGUAUGAAUAUGAAUGAUGCUGGAGAGAAGGCUCAGGAUUUAGGAGCACUGGCUGCUUUUCCAUAGGACCUUGGUCCUAUUCCCAGUUCCUACUUGGUGGCUCACAAUUAUCUGCAAUUCCAAGGGAAUCUAGUACCUUCUGGUCUCCCUGGGCACUACAUGCAAGUCAUAUACAUAUACAUAUACAUGCAGGCAAAACACUGAAACUUUUUUUUUUUUUUUUUAAAGGAGACAGGGUUUCUGUGUGUAGGCCUGGCUGUCCUGGAACUCACUCUGUAGACCAGGCUGGCCUCGUACUCAGAAAUCCUCCUGCCUCUGCCUCCCAAGUGCUGGGAUUAAAGGUGUGCACCACUGCCCGGCUUGAAACAUAAAAUUUAAAAAUACUUUAAUUUUGAUUAUGUGCCUGUGUGUAUAUGAAUGUAAAUGCAGUGCCCAAAAGAGGUCUGAAGGUGUCAGAUCUUCUACAGGUUGUUGUGAGUCAAAGCAAUGUAUGCUUCUAACUGAUAAACCAUCUCUCUAGCCUCCUUUGCCUAUCUUUUCCUUUAUUUUUUAUUUUAUUUUACUUUGUUUUUAUUUUUUGAGGCAGGGUCUUUAGAUGAGGUUACCUUUAAACACAGAUCCUCCUGUGUCCUUCUUGAGUACUGGGAUUAAAGGCAUACACCACUGUGCCUGGCCAUUUCUUACUAUUUAAUUAAAGAAAUUUAAUGUAUGAUAAUUUUUUUAAUUUCUAAAGCUAAGAAAUAGAGUAGAAGUAACUUUUCUAAAAUUAUUUUUUAAAAUGUGUUUUGCCUGUGUAAACAUCCUUGUUUGUGUGCCUGGUGCCUAUGAAAGCCAAAAAGGGAUGGGUGUCAGAGCCCCCUGAGACUAUUUGCAAAUAGCAAUGACCUGUUUUGUAGGUAUUGAGAAUCUAGCUCAGCUCUACUGGAAGGAAUAGCAGCUAUUGCUCUUAACAACCACUGAACCAUCUCUCCGGUCCUAGAGGUAGCCUUGAAUCUGCCUGUGUUAUGCCUUCUGGUCUCUGUAGAACUUUGGUUUCUUUGAUGUUAGAUGUUGGUAUAUUCGUCAAUUAAAAAGAAGACAUCCAGGCUCAGAUUUUAUUUUAUCUAUCUCAAGAGGUAAGAGAAUUACUUUCUCAUAGGUUUGGUGCAGGAUUGCAUCUGAGUCCUGUUGUGACCUUGUGGAUUUGACUAUAUCUGAGUCCACCAAAAGAUGCCACCAGAGUGGUUCCCUCAUUUGUUGUUAGGUAAUAUCCUUCCCAUCACAGGAAGUAGAAGAAAUUCUGGGAGAAAGAAUAUAGCCACCAUGGCAGUUUUGUGCUGUUUAGAAGACCUCUGAAUGGUGGCUCAUGCCUAUAAUCCUAGCCCUUUUAAAGCCAACUUGAGCUACAGUGUGGAAUCCUGUUUCAAAACAUUAAAACCAAAACAAAAAAAAUCCAAGAAGAUGAGACUUGUUGGUGGGGUUGGUGUCAGGAUAGAUGAGGUGGGUUUUGUCUUGUUUGCUUUGUUUUGUCCCUUAGCUCUGAUUCCUUCCUACCCCCACUAUUGCAAGAUCCUUUUGCCUUAUAGAUUGGUGAAUCAAGGGCAAGGUGGCGGUGUGAAGUAGGAUUAGAUUUUCCUUCCUUUUUUCCCUUAGCUGCCGAGUGUUUCAUCAUGGACUAGAGUAGUGGCAAGGGUACUGGAAACGUGAUUGUGGUGGAGGUGUCAUGGCUGAUUGCUGUUACCAGAGAAGAGGAGGGAAAUUGGAGCGGCACAAUAGAGGGAUGAAAGUUCCUACUAGGGAGAGACUCUACAGGAGCAGGUAAUUCACUGGUCCACAAGCGGUCUCCUUUACGUCGAAACCAAAAGACCUCAGCAUCCUUGAACAAGCUGUCUUUACAGGAUGGACAUAAAGCCAAAAAACCAGCAUGUAAAUUUGAAGAGGGUCAAGAUGUCUUAGCUAGAUGGUCAGAUGGCUUGUUUUAUCUUGGAACUAUCAAAAAGAUAAACAUAUUGAAACAGAGCUGCUUCAUCAUAUUUGAGGACAGUUCCAAAUCCUGGGUUCUCUGGAAGGACAUCCAAACAGGCAGGAGCCACUGGGAGUGGGGAAAUGGUCUGUACAAUAUGUCAAGAAGAGUAUUCAGAAGCUCCCAAUGAAAUGGUUAUAUGUGAUAAGUGUGGUCAAGGAUAUCAUCAGCUGUGUCACACACCUCAUAUUGACUCGAGUGUGAUUGAUUCAGAUGAAAAGUGGCUUUGUCGACAGUGCGUUUUUGCAACAACUACAAAGAGGGGUGGUGCGCUUAAGAAAGGACCAAAUGCCAAAGCAUUGCAAGUCAUGAAGCAGACAUUACCCUAUAGUGUGGCUGACCUUGAAUGGGAUGCAGGCCAUAAAACCAAUGUCCAGCAGUGCUACUGCUAUUGUGGAGGCCCUGGAGACUGGUAUUUAAAGAUGCUGCAGUGCUGCAAAUGUAAGCAGUGGUUUCAUGAAGCUUGUGUCCAAUGCCUUCAGAAGCCAAUGCUGUUUGGAGAUAGGUUUUAUACAUUUAUUUGCUCUGUCUGCAGUUCUGGACCAGAAUACCUCAAACGUCUACCGUUACAGUGGGUAGAUAUAGCACACCUAUGCCUUUACAACCUAAGUGUUAUUCACAAGAAGAAAUACUUUGAUUCUGAACUUGAGCUUAUGACAUACAUUAAUGAAAACUGGGAUAGAUUGCACCCUGGAGAGCUGGCAGACACACCCAAAUCUGAAAGAUAUGAGCAUGUUCUGGAGGCAUUAAAUGAUUACAAGACCAUGUUUAUGUCUGGGAAAGAAAUAAAGAAGAAGAAGCAUUUGUUUGGGUUGCGAAUUCGUGUUCCUCCUGUGCCACCAAAUGUGGCUUUCAAAGCAGAGAAAGAACCAGAAGGAACAUCCCAUGAAUUUAAAAUUAAAGGCAGAAAGGCAUCCAAACCUACAUCUGACUCAAGGGAAGUAAGCAAUGGGAUAGAAAAAAAAGGAAAGAAAAAAUCUGUAGGUCGUCCUCCUGGCCCAUAUACAAGAAAAAUGAUUCAAAAAACUGCUGAGCUACCUUUGGAUAAGGAAUCAGUUUCAGAGAAUCCUACGUUGGAUUUACCUUGUUCUAUAGGUUGUUAUACCAUUUAAAUUCUUUUGUCUCAGGAGAACUGAGGGAAUUGCACAUUCAUCCAAUACCUCAGAUGUGGACCUCACGGGUGCUUCCAGUGCAAACGAAACUACCUCGGCUAGCAUUUCCAGGCAUUGUGGAUUAUCAGACUCUAGAAAAAGAACUCGCACAGGAAGAUCAUGGCCUGCUGCAAUACCACAUUUGCGGAGAAGAAGAGGUCGCCUUCCACGAAGAGCACUCCAGACUCAGAACUCAGAAGUUGUGAAAGAUGAUGAAGGCAAAGAAGAUUAUCAGUUUGAAGAACUUAACACAGAAAUUCUGAAUAACUUAGCAGAUCAGGAGUUGCAGCUCAAUCACCUGAAAAACUCCAUCACUAGUUAUUUUGGUGCCGCAGGUAGAAUAGCAUGUGGCGAAAAAUACAGAGUUUUGGCUCGUCGGGUGACGCUUGAUGGGAAGGUGCAGUAUCUUGUGGAAUGGGAAGGAGCGACUGCAUCCUGACUGUAGGACUGAACGUAAUGUUCACUGCACUCGUUUUCUGUUGGUACAGUUAAAAAAAAAAAAAACAAAAAACAGAGUGUGGGUUUUAUUAUCUUUCUUAGAAAAACAAACAAAGAGAAAACACAAAAAUAUUCACAAAAGGAGAUGAUACUGGCCUUAAAACAUGUUCUUGUCAAUGUUAUGGAUAUUGUCAUAAAAAAAGAUAUCUUUUAAAAAUCAGAGGAGAGACUUAAUUUUUUUAAAUCUUAAGAUUUGUAGACUGUUUCUAGGAUAGGCUAUUAAACAUGAUUCAUACCCAUGCAUGGUGUUAGAUACUUUUUAUAAUUAUUCCAUUGAGUCAAUUUUUGUGAUUAGUGGUUAUCAGAGCAAACAGAUCAUGUAGAUAGCACAAGUAUUUGGAGAAACAUUGUGUGUUUUGUUAACAAAAUGUUGGAAAGAUUUAUUUCAAUACCCUUUAGAUUUCAUAAAGUGCAGUGUAUAUAAUGUCUACUGAAAGACUGUAAAAUAUUGAAAUUUCUUUCAAGCAAAAUGUAAAAAAAUAUAUUGAGCCUGUAAAUUGCUCUGUGACUAGACUUCAUUGUCGUCUUAAUAUAUUCUUUGCAUGUACAUGUAUAUACACACAUGUGUAUAUAUAUGUGUGUGAUUAUGUGACCUAUGCAAUACAAAUUAUGGGAAUGGGCAGCUUUGGAGUAUAUAUCCCAUAAUUCUUAUUUCAGGAAUAGUUGCAGUAUUUACACAGCAGCAUUUCUUCUCAGGCGUUUAUUGGGUGCUGUUGCUUGCUAUGUAUGAAGAGAAAUGUGUCAAGUUUAGUGUGUACUGAAGAAGGGUGUGAACAACAGUGUACAUGGGCUUUUAGAGGGCUUUUCAGUCCUUGUAACUCAGCUGUUGAAUACCUAAAACAAAUUCGAGUGAUAACUACAUUAUUUCCUAUUAGAAGUGACGUUUUCAAGUGAUUGUGGCACAUUAUGAUUGUAAAUGUCUCAGUUUUAACAGCAAGUCUGUGGGAGCCCAGUGAAGACUCCUGAAAUGUCUGUAGUAACUGUUAGUCAUGUUUGAGUAAGCGUAGUAUGAACAAAGUCUUUUAUUGCACAGGGUUAACAAACAGUAUGUUGCUAGCUGAGGCUAACUGCUGUUUUAUUACAACAUUACCUCUUGUUUUUAUAAAAUGUACCAAGAUUUUAAAUUGAUAUCUUUAUUUUACGUGUUAAAAAAAAGUUUCUUUUAUCACCAGUGUUAGAGUUGUCUUCUGUUUUUUUGGUUUGUUUUGGUUUGGUUUUUUUCUUGUUGUUUUCUUUCUUAGCCAAAGAGUAAACAGAAGAAUAUUAUUUUGGUAGCUCUUCAUUUUACUUUUAUAAUGAUUGGUGGAUUUUAGACUAAAAAUUGGGGAAAUUUCUGCCAAAAUGAAAAAAUAUGUGACGUGUAUUGAUGACAGAAUGCUAAAAUUGUGGUUAGUGCUUAUUUAUUCCAUUAAUUGAUUAUUUGCCUGUUUUUAAAGAAACAUGCUUUAUUUCCUUAAGCAUCUUCAAAAGAUGACUUUUCUUGUCACAUUGUAGCCAAAAGAAGCAGAGAAUUUCUUGUCCUGCUUUUGGUUCCUGGUUAACCAGGUAUAAUGAGCUUUACAAAGUGCAAAUUACAAACUGUCACUUCUGUUCACCUCCACCAAAACUUGAUUUCCCCUAGCUAUUAAUUUAAAGUUGCCUUUCCUGCAGCUGCAAUAUUUUGAAUAACACAGAGAUUGUGUUAAUUUUUGAAUGUUUGUUUAUAUCUAGGGGUAAUGGAAAAUGUAAUUCCCGUGUAACCUUAUUCACUCCAGCUGUAUCAUAUUUCAUUUUUCCCAAAGUUCUUUAAUUUUAACUGAACACCAGCAGUAUUUUUAGUAAUUCUUUAAGAUACUUGGAAGACAAUUUAUCAAGCUGAACUGUCUCUAGACUUAAUUAUUGUGAAUGUCUGUUUUCUUUUAUCAUGGUGGUUCACAUGGCUCUGAUGUUCAGUUUGUAUUUUUGAAAUUGCUUUACUUAGAAUUAAAACAGACCAACAUUAAAUGUGUGUAUUUUUAAAAGA
Mus musculus (house mouse) is the source of this 8461-nucleotide RNA transcript. It is a transcript of the gene named metal response element binding transcription factor 2, with no coding region annotated. The record is from RefSeq and is marked validated. The transcript is spliced from 16 exons. Lineage: Eukaryota; Metazoa; Chordata; Mammalia; Rodentia; Muridae.